Molecule: ribosomal RNA, 465 nt
Filed under: Vreelandella stevensii
Lineage: Bacteria; Pseudomonadati; Pseudomonadota; Gammaproteobacteria; Oceanospirillales; Halomonadaceae
Description: partial 16S ribosomal RNA
Rfam family: Bacterial small subunit ribosomal RNA
Source: RNAcentral
CCUACGGGGUGCAGCAGUGGGGAAUAUUGGACAAUGGGCGAAAGCCUGAUCCAGCCAUGCCGCGUGUGUGAAGAAGGCCUUCGGGUUGUAAAGCACUUUCAGUGGGGAAGAAAGCCUUGAGGCUAAUACCCUCGACGAAUGACAUCACCCGCAGAAGAAGCACCGGCUAACUCCGUGCCAGCAGCCGCGGUAAUACGGAGGGUGCGAGCGUUAAUCGGAAUUACUGGGCGUAAAGCGCGCGUAGGCGGUCUGAUAAGUCGGUUGUGAAAGCCCCGGGCUCAACCUGGGAACGGCAUCCGGAACUGUCAGGCUAGAGUGUGGGAGAGGAAGGUAGAAUUCCCGGUGUAGCGGUGAAAUGCGUAGAGAUCGGGAGGAAUACCAGUGGCGAAGGCGGCCUCCUGGACCGACACUGACGCUGAGGUGCGAAAGCGUGGGUAGCAAACAGGAUUAGAUACCCGGGUAGUC